CAACUAAAUCAAAUCAAACUUUAUUUGUCACAUGCGCCCGAAUACAAGUGUAGACCUUACCUUGAAAUGCUUACUUACAAGCCCUUAACCAACAAUGCAGUUCAAGGAGGGUUAAGAAAAUAUUUACCAAGUAGACUAAAAUAAAAAAUAAGAAUAAAAAGUAACACAAUAAGAAUAACGAGGCUAUGUACAGGGGGCACCGGUACAGAGUCAGUGUGCGGGGUUACAGGCUAGUUGAGGUAAUUGGUACAUGUAGGUGGGUGUGAAGUGACUAUGCAUAGAUAAUAAACAGCAAGUAGCAGCGGUGUACAAAAGCGAGGGGGGGGGGGUGUCAAUGUAAAUUGUCCUGCGGCGAUUUUAUUAAUUGUUCUGCAGUCUAAUGGCUUGGGGGUAGAAGCUGUUGAGGAGCCUUUUGGUUCUAGGCGCUCCAGUACCAGGCGCUCCGGACAUGGCGCUCCGGUACCACUUGCCGUGAGGUAGCAGAGAAAACAGUCUAUAACUUGGGUGACUGGAGUCUCUGGCAAUUUUAUGGGCUUUCCUCCGACACCGCCUGUCCUGGGUUGCAGGAAGCUUGGCACCAGUGAUGUACUGGGCCGUUCGUACUACCCUCUGUAGCGCCUUAUGGUCAGAUGCCGAGCAGUUGCCAUACCAGGCGGUGAUGCAACCGAUCAAGAUGCUCUCGAUGGUGCAGCUGUAGAACCUUUUGAGGAUCUGGGGACCCAAAUCUUUUCAGUCUCCUGAGGGGUGAAAAGGUGUUGUUGUGCCCUCUUCACAACUGUCUUGGUGUGUUUGCACCAUGAUAGUUUUUGGUGAUGUAGCUCCGGUAUCAAACGUAACAACCCCACCCGAAAAGUUGACAAAACAAAAAGGAGCAAGCAGGUAUGAUUUUCUCUUUUUUUCGGAGCCCACAGCAAGAAGUCGCCAGAGCCUACCGUGCUAACGGGUUCCCACUAGAUAACACAAUCACACACUGCAUGAAAGCAUGAGGUGUGGCUAACGUUAGCAAGCUUGAGCUAGAUACCAAGCUAGCAUACAAACUCGGUAGCACAGAGUAGAUACUUCAUAUGGCGUUGAGAAAUAGUGCAUUGUGGGUAGUUUAGAAGAUAUCCAGAAAUAAGUUAAGGAAUAUGUAAUGACGCAAAAACAUAACUGUUUGUACUUAUAGGAAACCAGAUCGUGACUACAACUCAGUUACUAAGACUUAACCACACUGUGUUGUUACACUGGUGAGUAAAAACUCAUGCUCCCUACCCUUUAACUUUUAGUCAAAUAAUUGAAAUAUACAUUUUACUCAACUGCGUUACCCACUCCAGUCAGCAGAUGGCGGUGUGCGAUUUUAAGGCGAGGCUGUUAGUGUGACGUCUAAUCUAGUGGACGGAACGCUUCUUUCAACAGCAGCAACAGUUAGUCAGCCACCUCGGUAGCUUGCUACACAAAAUAGCCGAACCAAUACAGCUCUUUAGACGCUUUCGUGUAUAUUAGCCACUGUGUUUUAAACCCACUUCUGUCGUCUAGUUAGUUAUCCGAUUUAAUUUCAUAUUUACGGUGUUGUUAUUAGUCAGCUAGAGGGCUGGUUAAGUUAGCAUUAGCAUAGCUAGCUAUCAUUCCCGACCAUGAGUUCACUAAGCUACUCUCCUGCUAAAGAAGAGGAGGUCUGCUGGACGGAGAAAGAAACUCUCGUGAAAGAGGAGGAUGAGGAUGUCACAAUACAAAAUCAAGUGGAGGGUGAGGCUGUUACCGUGAAAGAAGAAGAGAAAGACGUUUCAGAUAAAGAAGAGGAAGACGCGUUCAGAGUGAAAGAGGAGGAGGAUGUUACAGUAAAAGAAGAGGAGAAGGAUGCAUGUUUUGGAGUGAAAGAGGGGGAGAUGACUGUCACAUCGAAAAAGGAGGAAGAAGAGGAAACUGGAUAUCUGGGCCCGGUUUCCCAAAUGCAUCUUAAGGCGUCCGAUGGUUCUAACGGUGAACUUAGCCAUAAGAUGGUUUUGAGAAACCGUUCCCUGAUUAACAAUAAUGGCAGAGAAAAGCAGAGCACCAGUGUGGGACUACUACAUGGAAUUGGCACCAGGGAAAGCAAGGUGUCUUAUUUGUGAUAAAGAUGUAAGCAUGGGAUCAGCAACGGCUAAAUCAAAAAAUACCACUAACCCGUGGAAUCACCUAAAUUACACCCACCCAGAAGCCCAUAAAGGAGGCAAUGAGGAAAAAAGCAAACGGAAAAAGUGAUACAGACACGUCACAGACAUCGCAGGCUACAAUCUUACAACUUGUUAAUAAAGAAGCAAAAUGGCAGGAUAAAGACCCAAGGGCCAAGAAGAUGGAUGAAGCAAUUAUUGAGAUGAUUGCCACUGAUAACCAGCCAUUCACAGUGGUGUCUGAGGUUGGUUUUCAGUGGCUGAUUACUCUUGCUGAACCCCGGUACAGGAUCAAAGAUGAAAAAUUAUUUUGCACCGAAAUGCUAGAUAAAACACAUGAAAGAGUUGUGAUGAAAGUGAAGAAUCUGGUGGCACCAGUGAACGCACCACACAUGGCAUUCACAACUGACUGCUGGUCAGGCCACUACAGAGUCCCUGAUGAGCCUUACUGGACAUUUCAUUGACAAUGUCUGGACAAGAAAGCAGGUUGUGCUGAAUGUCAAGACUAUGACUGGAUCACACACAGGAAACUACACCAGAGAGAUGUUUCUGACCAUGUUGGAAUACUGGGAAAUCCACACAGAACGUGUAGUGCUGAUCCUCAGGGACAGUGGGGCAAACACGGUGAAAGGUAUGAGACUGGCAGAGCUUCCAGACUUCAGCUGCAGUGCACACACCCUACAACUUGUAAUCAAUGAUGGCCUAUCCAGUCAGAAAGCUCUGCUAGACAUUAUUGCCAUGUUUAAGAGCUGUGCAACUCACUUUGACCACUCUGUACUGGCCAAACAGAGGCUGAGGGCCAUUCAGGAAAAGCUUGGCCUUCCCAAACACAGCAUCAUCCAAGCAGUUCAAACUCGCUGGAACUCAACACUACAAAUGUUGCAGAGAAUGUUUGAACAGAGGUGUGCUGCCAUCCUGUUAAAAGGUAACAGAUUAUUUUAUUACAACGGUUAAAAUGUAUUUUCAUUGUGUUCCAUGGUGUUAUUCGCCCCCUAGUGGAGCUUUCUGGUACUUAGAAAGACUACGCAAACAGGAAGUAGAGAAUUCGUUCUGCACGCAUAGAAGCAGCUAAAAACAACGCUACGGUGCAGGUCAUUCAGUGUAGUUAUUUCUUGUCACGCUUCAGCCUUGGAAAAUAUUUGUUUGAAAGUUCGAUUCAAGCAUUUAGCUAGUGAUGAUAAUCUUGUUAUUGAUAGAGUUGCUUACAUAUCAAUGUUGGUUGGUUGCAUUUACUCACACAAAUUGCAAUGCCUUUCAUGUAUGCCGUUAGCUGUAUUACUUUGCUCGUGCAUCAUGCAAACGAAUUGUAAAAUAUACAAUACUGUAGUUUUGUUACUGUUUCUAGUGUAAUAUGCUUUGUUAUUCUACAUAGAUGGGUGUACAUGAUUAGAGUAAUGAAAGAAGUUAGCCAAUUACCAUAUGAGUAACAAUUAGCUAUAUGUUUGUCAUCAAACCAGAUGCAUGGUACCUUAGCACGUGCUUUGUAUUUAUGCAACUUCAAAUGUAUAAUGUACAGCUACAAUAUGUCGGUGUGAAUUGAAUACUAAAGUAUAUUAUUUUCUGUAUUUUGCAGUUUUACAACAUAAACGUUUUCAAUAUAUUCAUUCAAGAAAAGUCACGCCUUGGGAGUUUUAUUGAAGACUUAGUUGUUAGCUAUCUGUCUAGUUUUGCAUGGGAACGCAACUCAAGGGCAGAAUAAGAGGCGUGCACUGAAUGUGUAUGCAGGUGAAUACGGACACAUCAGCAGUUUGUCUGCUGCACAGUGGGACAUUGUCUCUAACCUAAUUGAGAGACUGGCACCUAUGGAGGAGGUGACACUGGAGAUGAGCCACUCCAACUCUACAGCCGCAUGCCUCAUCCCCAGUGUGUCGGUGCCGACCAUGUUGGACAGUCUGACGAGGUUCUCCAAGGCCGAGGAGACAAAGCGCCUGGUGCUGGCAACUGUCCUGGAUCCACGUUACAAGAGCUAUGCCUUCACCUCAAGGACAGCACUAGAGAAAGCAAAAGAGUGGCUGAAGGAGGAGUCUGACCUACUAAGGAAACCAAAUCCCAGAGCCACAGCAGAUGGGACGAGUGAAGAGGAGGACCCAGAUCCAGGUGCAAAAAGUCCAGGUAGAUCAGCCACCCAGUCUGGUGGACAGCCUCUACGCUAGAAUCCUUGGAAGCCAAGAGGGCAGGGCUGAAGUCCAGUGCAGUUUUGAAAUUGAGUUUGAGCGUUACCUCACAGAGCCUGUCAUUGACAGAAAGAGCGGCUUGCCUUUGGAGUGGUGGAAGCAGAUGGAGGACAGACUUCAAUCACUCGCUCCGUUGGCAAAGAAGUUUCUCUGUCCCCCAACUUCUUCGGUCCCAAGUGAGAGAGUAUUCAGUGAGGUGGGAAUCAUUUAUGAUAAGCAGAGGAGCUGACUGACAGGGGACCAUGCAGACAAGCUCUGCUUUCUGCACUACAACCUAAAACUUAUGAACUGGGAAUAUUGAAGACCCAUGAAAGCUGGUGAUUCCUUUUAACAUAUGUUCUCAUGUUAUUUGAGACUAAAUUGAUUUUAUUUAUGGAUUAUAUUAAGUUAAAAUAAAAGUGUUCAUUGUUCAUUCA
Salvelinus fontinalis (brook trout) is the source of this 4719-nucleotide long non-coding RNA. RefSeq lists it as uncharacterized. The record is from RefSeq and is a predicted model, not a curated record. The transcript has 2 exons. NCBI's taxonomy places the organism in Eukaryota, Metazoa, Chordata, Actinopteri, Salmoniformes, Salmonidae.